UUUUCAGAGAGGACUCAUAAAUAAGCUGGCUGUAGAGGACUCUGGAGACAGUGUUAAGGAGGAGACACCAUAAGCUCUGUCCUCCUGUCCUUUCUUACCACACCAUGUGGAAGAACAGAUAUGCUCAGCUGUACCUUUUUUCAGUUCUUCUUGCCUUCCUGCCUUCUGCAUCUUCACUCAAUGGAGACCCGAAGUAUAUGGUGCUGGUCCCUUCUCAGCUCUACACUGAGACCCCUGAGAAAAUCUGCUUCCAUCUAUACCAUCUGAAUGAGACAGUGACCGUCACAGCUUCCUUGGUGUCUCAAUCAAGAUGGAGAAACCUGUUCGAUGAGCAUAUCACAGAUUUCUUGGUAUCUCAAUUGGAAAGGAGAAACCUGUUCGAUGAGCUUGUGGUUGACAAGGACUUGUUCCAAUGUGUUUCCUUCAUUAUCCCUACACUCAACUCUCCUGAUGAGGAGGAGUUUCUCUACGUGGACAUCAAAGGGCCAACCCACGAAUUCAGCAAAAGGAAAGCAGUGCUUGUGAAGAACAAAGAAAGUGUUGUCUUUGUCCAGACAGAUAAGCCCGUGUACAAACCAGGACAAUCAGUUAAAUUUCGGGUUGUCUCUAUGGAUAAAACUCUACACCCCCUGAAUGAGUUGCUCCCUCUGGCUUACAUUGAGGAUCCGAAAAAGAACCGAAUUAUGCAGUGGAGGGAUAUUAAGACUGAGAAUGGGCUUAAGCAAAUGUCCUUCAGCCUGGCAGCAGAGCCCAUUCAGGGCCCCUACAAGAUAGUGGUGCACAAACAGUCAGGGGAGAUGGAAGAACACUCCUUUACUGUGUUGGAAUUUGGUAUGAAUUGGGAAGACCAUCAAGAAAAAGCAAGUCUCAGGAUUCUGGUUAUCAUAGGAUGAAUUACUUUGUACAAAUUGAGUUCCAUCUGACUCUAGCUAAGGCUAUCCAUCUAGCAACAUGGGAAUUCUAGAAAGUUCUGGGAUUUUUCAAAAGCAAAUUACUUGUUUUAUUUUGUUUUUUUGUUUGUUCAUUUUUUUUACUUAAGUAGAUAUCCCUGUGAUUUUCAAGAAGUGAUAUAAUGUAUAGCCACUCAUCAUUCUAACUUUAUUGGGAUGGGUCAUGCCUUAAUAAUGUGAAAUGACCAUUUCUGGGCAGAGAGUGAUCACUUAGGCAACUAGACAAUUAGGUCCACUCCUGAGUGUCUCCUCUCUCUCACAAUAGUGCUUCCCAGAUUUAAUGUCGACCUGAAGGUUCCAAAUGCCAUCUCUGUGAAUGAUGAAGUGCUCCAAGUGACUGCAUGUGGGAAGUGAGUUGCUGGCUUCUGUACUUCUAUCCUUAAGAAAGUACUCAGACACA
Mus musculus (house mouse) is the source of this 1350-nucleotide RNA transcript. It is a transcript of the gene named predicted pseudogene 10319, with no coding region annotated. Lineage: Eukaryota; Metazoa; Chordata; Mammalia; Rodentia; Muridae. The record is from RefSeq and is marked validated. The transcript is spliced from 6 exons.